GUGAUAAUAGGUUCUGUGAAUAGGUAUGCGCUUUUUCCCCGGAGAGAGAAGUGACUGAGAAGACAGCCUGUAACGAUUCGAUCAGAAAUGCUGCACGGCGACAAAUCUCCCAUGGGGAAAUGGGUCGCCUCAUCAUUCAUCCUAACUAUAUUACUCUUCUUCUCCAUUGCGGAAUCCACCAACAAUUCUCAGGCAAUUCUUACUUUUUCCUUUUCCAUUCAAUGCAUUUUCCUUUUCUCAUUCACCAAUUCAUCCAUAAAAAAUUCAGGUUCGAUGUAGCAAAACAUGUGUAGCAGAGAACUGUAAUU
RNAcentral lists this unclassified non-coding RNA (308 nucleotides) under Hevea brasiliensis (rubber tree). The record is from RNAcentral. Lineage: Eukaryota; Viridiplantae; Streptophyta; Magnoliopsida; Malpighiales; Euphorbiaceae.